GAAAAUCCCUUGCCCUGGGAAAAGACAAAAAGGAGAUUCUUCAUCCCGAAUUUCUUCAGUAUUGAUGACCACCCACUGGUCAACAUUUUGACUUAAAGAGUAACCCCAAACAAGCCCCACUUGCGGGUGACUGCGAAGCCUGAGGACCCAACCAGCUGGAAUUCCGACAGGAAGAGCCUUGGUUUAUCUUGGAGCUGUGCUGGUUUCCACCUCCCGGGGAAUGUCUGCAAAGACUCAUGCAUCUGACGAUCGUUUUCUGGGAGUCUCCUGAGACAGGUGGUGCUUGGCCCAACGUUUCCAGAAUGCCUCGUCAAGGGGCAGACUGAGAAAGGGAAAUAAAAAUG
Molecule: long non-coding RNA, 344 nt
Organism: Cynocephalus volans (Philippine flying lemur)
Lineage: Eukaryota; Metazoa; Chordata; Mammalia; Dermoptera; Cynocephalidae
Exons: 3
Source: RefSeq, a predicted model, not a curated record